This 85-nucleotide transfer RNA is filed under the name Felis catus (domestic cat). It matches the Rfam family "tRNA". Rfam says of the family: Transfer RNA (tRNA) molecules are approximately 80 nucleotides in length. Their secondary structure includes four short double-helical elements and three loops (D, anti-codon, and T loops). Further hydrogen bonds mediate the characteristic L-shaped molecular structure. tRNAs have two regions of fundamental functional importance: the anti-codon, which is responsible for specific mRNA codon recognition, and the 3' end, to which the tRNAs corresponding amino acid is attached (by aminoacyl-tRNA synthetases). tRNAs cope with the degeneracy of the genetic code in two manners: having more than one tRNA (with a specific anti-codon) for a particular amino acid; and 'wobble' base-pairing, i.e. permitting non-standard base-pairing at the 3rd anti-codon position. Lineage: Eukaryota; Metazoa; Chordata; Mammalia; Carnivora; Felidae. The record is from Rfam by way of RNAcentral. RNAcentral also lists the same sequence under 3 other names.
GCCUGGGUGACUCAGUUGGUUGAGCAUUUGACUUUGGCUCAAAUCGUGAUCUCACAGUUUGUGAGUUGGAGCCCCACAUCAGGCU